Non-coding RNA from Zonotrichia albicollis (white-throated sparrow), 4176 nucleotides. NCBI's taxonomy places the organism in Eukaryota, Metazoa, Chordata, Aves, Passeriformes, Passerellidae. The record is from RefSeq and is a predicted model, not a curated record.
UUUGAGUCAAUCUCCCUCUUCUCCCCUUCCCCCACCUCGGCUUGAUCUGGGAUCAGGGCUUUGCUCUGUGUGCUGGGCUCUGAUGGAUGCUGGGAGAGGUGUUGCAGAAGGGGGGCAGGCUCUUUUCUAAUACCAGGAUCAAGUGAAAGUUAGCCCUUCCUUAUGUCUGAGUCAUUAUCCCUGUUGUCACUACAAUAAGAAGCACGAGGAGCAAUCGUGCUCCUUUGCAGAAAGGGAACAGCUGGUGUAAAUGCCAGCCAGGGCCAGCUUUGGCAUUCGGCCUGGCUCUCACCACAAAGACUGAGCCUCGGUGAUGCUCUGAAGGUGUUGUAUUUCAAUCGGCUCCUGAGCUGGGUGGGAUUUGCUGCUUGCAGAUAAGGACAGCAAUGCAGCAGCAAGGCAAGUUACAACAAACAGUCAGAAGUAAUACCUGGUCAGGUAGACAUGCACAAGUGAAUGAUCCAGGCUGCAGGCCUCUCCUGGAGUGGAGAAGAUGCUCUCACAAUGUAGGGCCAGGGACAAGACCCUCAUGCUGGAUUACAUAACCUGGCAUCAGAAACACUCACUGCUCUUGCUUUCUGUGGGCUGGAAGGACUAAAUCUAUUAAAGCUGUAGCUGGAGACAGCUUGGGAAAAUCCUGCAUCACAUUUGAAUGUCUGGGAUGAAAAAGUGCCAGCAUGCUUGCACAUCAUGCCAAGCUGAGCCAGCAGAGGCUCUUGGGUUUCUUCUGUCUGUGUACAAUUAAAGUCACACUCAGCAUUGAAGCACUGCUCAGAUCCCCAGACUUUGCAGCUGCACGACCACACUGGAGAAGGCACAGAACCUCUGAACAUCUCUAAGCCAGCUGUCAAUGAGAGCCAUGCUUCCCAAGGGGCUGGGAAUGGGCUGCAGGUCACUCCUGACCCAUCCCCUUGGUCUUCUGUGUCUCAGUGGUCCCUUAGCUGAGUGGAGUCAUGCUGGCAUUCCAGCACAGCACACGCAGUCACUCAUCUCUUCUUGCCAUCAGCCAGCUCCCCACAGCAAAGCCCCCCCAGUGACGACAAGCAUCUUCCCCCAUGCUGGGUAGAAAGAGCAAGGGAGAAAGAAUUAACAAAAUAAGAAAUCUCCCAGAGUCUGGAAAAAGCGCCCAUCUGGCAGGAUCUCACAGCUCCACCCUCAGGGAAUCUGCGUUUCUGACACUCAGUCUGCCUGCUGCUUGAGGGAACACCCUCGUAGAAUCAGCCACGAGCAGAGAGACUUGUGAGCCAGUUCUGCACAAUUUGCUCUAAGGGUCCUCCCAGCUCUAUCUCCAGCCAAACAAAAGCAAAGGCUCUUUUCUUCUGAAAUAUGCAGGAGGUCAUGAGCUAACCUGCAGCUAAUCUAUAUUUUCAGCUCUGAUGUUGCUUUUCAGCUCUGCUGCUUGUGUUUGUGCUUGGCUGCUUCCUCCUUUCCAAAUUCCAGAGGUGGGUUUGUUUCCUUAACAGAGAAUGAAGAAAUUUGGAUAUGGUCUUACAGGAAAAGAUCAGAUGCAGUUUAUAGCAUCUUGCACCAAAGGAACAUUGAGAACAGCUAGAAUCAUCAAACUCAUCUGUGCUUGAAUCAGUAGCCAGAUUUUUCGAAGGUGCAGGAGACCCAGUAAGAGGAAUGGGUGAGCAGUCACCAAGGCAGGUUCCCAUAUACAGUACAGAUUCUGAGAACAGAAAAUGUUGAAUCCUGGAGAUAUCUCUCUCCAUAACUCAGACUUUUCCAUUGAUUGGAGAGAAUGAUCUCUUCUCUGUUUGGCACAGAGCAGCUCUGCGGCCCAGCAGACCAAGCUGUAAACAGAGCCCCAGGGAACCAGACCACUCCAAACUGGUGCAGUUUGUGAACUGUGGGCAUGAAUCAUCCAAAUAACUUCCUUCAGGCAAUACAGGGAAGAAAUGUCACUAACCAUGUGAAAAUUGAGACCAUAUGUUUUUAGGAUGUUUUUUGAAAGGAGUAUCCUUGAGAAAGCUACUUGAGUGACUUCAAGGCUGGUUCCUAGGUCAGAUCCCAGCAGAUCAGUCCCUCCUCCUCUGGUGCCAGGGACUCUCUCGACUAUGGUCGUUAUUUUCACUGCAGCCAGUAUCUAUCUUUUUCUGCACCAUCUAGUGAAAAGCUGCAAGUCCUUCAAGGCCAAGACAAAGAUUGUGUUUUGUUUGUUUGGAAAACAAAAAAAUGAAUGCCGGAAAAAAACAGGUGCCUGAGAACUGCCUCUGGCAUCUCCCAUCUGUGCAUGAAGACAACUCCUCCACAGCAGCAGCAGCCUCUCCUUCCACUUGGCAGGUGUUGUUGGACCAGAGCCAUGGGUACAGGAUCUAUUUUCUGUUGAGCUUGCAAAGGAGACGUGGUUGCCUGGCACAGCCUUGUAUUUCAACAGCUGAUCUGAUAACACAGAGGUGCUGGCCUCUGUUCUCUGCGAUCAUUCCCUGAAGAAGCAGGGUGAUUACUUUUUCUUUCCAUGAGGAAGCUGUUGGAUAUAACCUGGCACCUCGAAGGGUUUUUUUUUUUCCCUGUGCAAUUAGCAAUUUGGGGUUUUUUUACAUUCUGAAAGGUGGCAUUUUGCCCCUCUUGGGAGGCCUGUCCCUCAUCAUGCAGCUCUCUGUGUGCCAUUAAUGCAGCCACAUGUGGGUGUGCCAGAGCCUCCCCAGUGCUUUGACCUGGUUACCCCACCCUGAACAACCUUGGCGACAGCACCCACAUUUCCAAAGGACAUGCACCAAUGGCUGGGAAUCUGGGAGAAGUCAAAGUGAGCCCUAAUAAGGCAAGGCAGCUAGUUAUUACUAAGCUGCUAUUUCUACUGCAAGAAGCCCUGGAGCAGCAAAGCUGCUCACUUAAUGUAUGUUCAUUAGCAGCAUGGAUAAGAGCAGCACUGAUUGCAGGCUAUAAUUAGAUCUCUGGGACCUUUUUGGACCGGCUUUCUCUGGCAUUGUGCUACUUUGAAAGGACUUCCAGUUUCUUUUCUGAAUGGUUGGGAUGGCAUUUCCCUAUUCAGCAGAUUUGGGACUGUUUCUGUUUUCUCCAUUGUGGCUCACAGAGCGCUCCCAACUUGGUGCCACAAGCCCCACGCCACAGAAUUAGCAAAAGCUCCAUUGUUUGACCACUCCUGGUCCCUUGAGUUGUAGAGUUGGCCAGACUGCAGCUCUCUUCUUGGAACUGCAUGGCCAACCUGCCAGGCAGCCCUCCCUGAUUCACUUAGCUUGCCAAGAUGUAGUUUUGUGAGUACCUUCCUCUGGUGAUGACUCUGAUUCUCCUGGAAUCCCUUUCUUAGCGUGCUCUGUGCAGCCAGCCUAGAGCAUUCCCACAAGGGACAGAUGCCCCAAGCCAGCACUGAGCACGUACUCAGGGAAUGGUGGCCUACAUGGAAAUUCUUACUCCUCUCUUGGAAUGCUGGAAAACAGCCUCAGCAUCCACUCUGUGAAAAGCAGGGGAGGAAGAGCCAAGGGAAAGAUGCAUAGCAUGAAGGGCUGGAGUUGAGGUAUCAACAGCUCACGUGGCAAACGGGACCCAAGGGUGUCUCUGCCGGUGGUUUCCCCUCCCAGCGCUGGUGUGCUGGAGACAACCAUUAAGCACAGCCCUGUGGUGGGCAUCUUUCCUUGCCAUGUUCCCAGAUCCUUCCUGUAUCUUCUCGUGCACUGCCCACUCACCAGCUGGCAGGCAGGGGCAGAGGUGCUGGGAGCCCAUCUGGGAUUAGGAAUCCAGAGGCAAAGGUGCACAUGCCAGAACUUGGCUGACCUGUGGGCUGAGGGAGGCUAUCUGAGGAAGGAAGUUUUUGUGUCUUGUUUUGAACCCAAUGCAUCUGGUCCUGGUAGCUCAAACUGCAGACUGAGAUGCAAAUUGAGCUCUGGGUGGGGGCCCAGGGAGACAAGAGGCCGAGAACUGCCAACCUUUGGGAUAACAAAAGGCACAAAGGCAGGUGGUGCCAGCCAGGUGAAUGGACACUUGAGAGACACAUGGGAGCUGAGAAUUGCUGACCUUUUUGAUAACAAAGGAGAUGAGGAGGGGUGAUGCCAGCAGAGAGGGGGCUAGGAGCCAGGAGGAAGAGUGACACUUGCAUGAGGGUAGAUGUUGAGGGUAUAAAAAGCCCAGGGGUUCCAUUGUUGGGGUCCUCCUCGAAGGCACCAGUUCCAGGUGUUUCUGUGUUACUGUGCCACGAAUAAAUGGCUUUAUGGAAUGAGA